AGCUACCACUGCUAAGAGCCAUCUCCACCAGAAGCCUGGCCAGACCUGGAAGAACAAAGAGCAUCAUCUCUCUGACAGAGAGUUUGUGUUCAAAGAACCUCAGCAGGUAGUACGUAGAGCUCCUGAGCCACGAGUGAUUGACAGAGAGGGUGUGUAUGAAAUCAGCCUGUCACCCACAGGUGUAUCUAGGGUCUGUUUGUAUCCUGGCUUUGUUGACGUGAAAGAAGCUGACUGGAUAUUGGAACAGCUUUGUCAAGAUGUUCCCUGGAAACAGAGGACCGGCAUCAGAGAGGGAAGAGAAUGGAGACUACACAUAUGUGGAAAGAGUGAAGAUACCCUUGGAUCAUGGGACCUUGUUAAUCAUGGAAGGAGCGACACAAGCUGACUGGCAGCAUCGAGUGCCCAAAGAAUACCACUCUAGAGAACCGAGAGUGAACCUGACCUUUCGGACAGUCUAUCCAGACCCUCGAGGGGCACCCUGGUGACGUCAGAGCUUUGAGAGAGAAGCUUCACUGAAACGGAGCAAACCUUCCACUGAGAAGCCACUUCAAGAGGCUGGUGCUGCUAGAUCUCAUGAUGUGGCUGUUGGGAAGAUGGUGGGGUUUGUUUGCCAGCUUGGAGUCCUAUUAAAUGAAAGCCAGCAACUCA
This 648-nucleotide small RNA is filed under the name Pan troglodytes (chimpanzee). RNAcentral describes it as "processed transcript". The record is from RNAcentral. Lineage: Eukaryota; Metazoa; Chordata; Mammalia; Primates; Hominidae.